This 709-nucleotide ribosomal RNA is filed under the name Microbacterium sp. T213BO1. RNAcentral's name for it is "SSU rRNA". It matches the Rfam family "Bacterial small subunit ribosomal RNA", at positions 729 to 1438 of the family's 1533-position model. The record is from RNAcentral. Lineage: Bacteria; Bacillati; Actinomycetota; Actinomycetes; Micrococcales; Microbacteriaceae.
UCUGGCCGUAACUGACGUGAGGAGCGAAAGGGUGGGAGCAAACAGGCUAGAUACCCUGGUAGUCCACCCCGUAAACGUUGGGAACUAGUUGUGGGUCCAUUCCACGGAUUCCGUGACGCAGCUAACGCAUUAAGUUCCCCGCCUGGGGAGUACGGCCGCAAGGCUAAAACUCAAAGGAAUUGACGGGGACCCGCACAAGCGGCGGAGCAUGCGGAUUAAUUCGAUGCAACGCGAAGAACCUUACCAAGGCUUGACAUAUACGAGAACGGGCUAGAAAUAGUCAACUCUUUGGACACUCGUAAACAGGUGGUGCAUGGUUGUCGUCAGCUCGUGUCGUGAGAUGUUGGGUUAAGUCCCGCAACGAGCGCAACCCUCGUUCUAUGUUGCCAGCACGUAAUGGUGGGAACUCAUGGGAUACUGCCGGGGUCAACUCGGAGGAAGGUGGGGAUGACGUCAAAUCAUCAUGCCCCUUAUGUCUUGGGCUUCACGCAUGCUACAAUGGCCGGUACAAAGGGCUGCAAUACCGCGAGGUGGAGCGAAUCCCAAAAAGCCGGUCCCAGUUCGGAUUGAGGUCUGCAACUCGACCUCAUGAAGUCGGAGUCGCUAGUAAUCGCAGAUCAGCAACGCUGCGGUGAAUACGUUCCCGGGUCUUGUACACACCGCCCGUCAAGUUCAUGAAAGUCGGUAACACCUGAAGCCGGUGGCCCAA